AUGAAUGCUAAGGAGGACGGUAACAUUUUUUUGGAGAGCUAUACGUUUGAUCAAGAGGUUGCUAGAAGAGAGCUUAGUAACAUGUUGGUGUUGCAUGAGUAUCCACUGUCUAUAGUGGACCAUGCUGGUUUUAGGAAGUUUGUUCAUGCACUUCAGCCACUAUUCAAGCUACAUACAAGAAAUACUAUUAGGCAAGAUAUUGAGGAAGAUUAUAACCAAGAAAGAAAGAAGACAAUUGAUUACAUGACUAUGAACCAAUCUAGGGUUGCUAUCACUACAGAUAUGUGGACUGCGGACCACCAAAAGAAGGGAUAUAUGGCUAUUACAGCUCAUUUCACUGAUGAAUCUUGGAAGCUUCGAAAUGUUAUCAUGAGGUUUGUAUAUGUUCCAGCUCCUCAUACAGCUGAAGUGAUAUGUGAAGUGCUCUAUGAUUCCCUGCUUCAAUGGAAUAUUGAUGAAAAACUGAUGACAGUGACUGUGGAUAACUGCACCACCAAUGACAAGGCAAUUGAGAUGAUUGUGGGGAAGAUAGGGAAGGAGAAGCUCCCUUUGGAAGGUACUCUACUGCAUAUGCGUUGUAGUGCACACAUCUUAAAUCUUAUAGUUAAGGAUGGAUUGGAUGUUAUGAAGUCAGCUAUAGAAAACAUUAGGGAAAGUGUGGCAUAU
This 666-nucleotide ribosomal RNA is filed under the name Triticum aestivum (bread wheat). RNAcentral describes it as "partial small subunit ribosomal RNA". The record is from RNAcentral. Lineage: Eukaryota; Viridiplantae; Streptophyta; Magnoliopsida; Poales; Poaceae.